AGUGAGGUAGCUCAGUUGGUUAGAGCGCGCCCUUCAUACGGGUGAAGUCAGGAGUUCAAAUCUCCUCCUCACUACCA
This 77-nucleotide transfer RNA is filed under the name Vibrio chagasii. Its description in RNAcentral is "tRNA-Met". It matches the Rfam family "tRNA". From Rfam's summary of the family: Transfer RNA (tRNA) molecules are approximately 80 nucleotides in length. Their secondary structure includes four short double-helical elements and three loops (D, anti-codon, and T loops). Further hydrogen bonds mediate the characteristic L-shaped molecular structure. tRNAs have two regions of fundamental functional importance: the anti-codon, which is responsible for specific mRNA codon recognition, and the 3' end, to which the tRNAs corresponding amino acid is attached (by aminoacyl-tRNA synthetases). tRNAs cope with the degeneracy of the genetic code in two manners: having more than one tRNA (with a specific anti-codon) for a particular amino acid; and 'wobble' base-pairing, i.e. permitting non-standard base-pairing at the 3rd anti-codon position. Lineage: Bacteria; Pseudomonadati; Pseudomonadota; Gammaproteobacteria; Vibrionales; Vibrionaceae. The record is from RNAcentral.